AUGCGUCUACUGCAACAAGGCAUUCACAGCCUCCAGCAUCCUGCGCACGCACAUCCGCCAGCACUCUGGAGAGAAGCCCUUCAAGUGCAAGCACUGCGGCAAAGCCUUCGCCUCGCACGCCGCCCACGACAGCCACAUGCGGCGCACGCACAGCAGGGACAAGGGCUGCACUUGCUCGCUGUGCGGCCAGCACUUCCCCGAGCAGGAGGAUUACCACUUCCACAUGAAGAGCCAUGCUGCUCAUUAGUCAAAGGUGGAUGGGUCCUGGACCAGCUUCAUGUGUGUAUUUGUGUAUGUGCAUGUGUGUGCACACCGCAGGAGGUGACAUUUACCCUCGCGAUGUGGGUCCCAAGCUCCUCUCUAAGCGCAGGGCACUGGCUUAUCUUACUGGGUACCCUGGCUCCACGCUGGGGUGAACUCCGACAUGCACUAACCCUUCCUCCCCUUCCUGCGCUCUCAUUUUCACAGCCAGGAGUGAAUGCCACCUCCCACGAACCUUUCAUGUGUGAAUAUCACUGUGAUGGAUGUUACCAUACCUCUAACGCACCAGUCUAUGGACUGCCUGCUGCUGUCCAUGCCGAAGCUCAUGUAAGGGAUUUUUUUAGCAAGUGUGUUUACCAAAGCCAAUUUAGCCUAUUUGUUUCAGCACAUGAGCAGGUGUAGGGCCUAUCUCCCCAUAUUAUGGAAGCUCCUUAAUGACUCCCUAAUUAAAUGCAAAUGUGGUGGGAGCAGCACAGGGGUAUUUAGAUCUGUUUGGCCACAGAGCCAGGUGAGCUGACCACAGGGAACUCCAGGACAGUGGCAUUGCUCUGGGGAUAGUGACACCACUUCAGGUCAGUGACACCAACCCUUCCUCAGCCUGUUCUGGCUGCAGUAGUGGUAUGGGGAAGACCAAACCUGAAGCUGUUCCCAAGCACCAGUGAGCUCCUAGGUGGGUCACCAGCGCUCCGGCAGUCUCAGAGAGGCUUUGCACUGAGCUCAGCACAGGCCAGGAGUUGACGUGAUCCCACCCAUGUGCUCUUCUGUUUGAGUCUCAAGGCACAAAGGUUUUUAAAUCAAGCCUGCGGUACCUCCAUUUAGGAAGGGGGAAAACUUUACCCUAAUCUUCAAUUUAAGAUAUGUAUGAUGGACAGUCCUGAGACUUCUCAACUCCAAAAGAUUUCUGCAUGUGAAAUUCCCUCCCCAGACCGUGGGAAUGUCUUCUCAUUUGUGGGAAGGCUGGAAGACCUCGCCCUCCUUUUCGCACUGGCCAGGCAAUAUGCAAGCAGGUCAGAACUGAUGUGUGCAGGCUUUCUAUUGAUUUCUUUUUCAUGAAGGGGAAGUCUUUGCUUAUGAAAAUGACAUUUGCUUUCUAUAAAAAAGCUACUCUAAGCUAUGGAUGAAUAUUUAAUCUAGGACCCUAAAACUGGUUUUCUUUUGCACUCUGACUUGGAGACUUGGAAUUGCUAUUCCAAGUUAGACAUCCUGUCCUUUCAUACCAACAAACUGACCCAGAUGAAAAGAAAUAAUUUUGGUGUAAAAUCCUAACUGAUUAGACCCCAAUUUUUGCAAAAGAUUUCCAUAAUAAUUAAGAACCUUUAACAAUGUGUCAUUCCCUGGCAAUGUGAAAGCUCACCUGGAGGUCUGUGCUGGUGGACCACUGUGUAUAGGGAGUGUCACGACUGGUGCAGAGGCCCCUAUCUGUCACUGCAUGAGCAGUGUGGUGGGUAGGGGUUUUCAUCUGCGAGGGGUUCCUGUGUCAUUGGGGUUGUUUCUUUGCAUCCAGGAGGGGUAAUAGAAGCCCUUGCUGGAGCUGAUUCAUUAAUGCAGAUGGUUUGAUGUCAUUGGGAUAAUAAAGUUCUCCUUUAAUAUCCUAGAUCA
Molecule: long non-coding RNA, 1860 nt
Organism: Anser cygnoides (Swan goose)
Lineage: Eukaryota; Metazoa; Chordata; Aves; Anseriformes; Anatidae
Source: Ensembl